GGGGAUGAAUGGUAUCGACGGAGGUGGAGCGUCACAGAUUGCAAACCGAGAGGCGCCGAACUCGUUAACUCAGCGCACACACAAGUGCCAAUCGCACUGACUAUGCUGCUCUACCCGUAGCCGCGUAAGCGGAUUACAAGUAGACCGGCGCUCUCCCAGGAGAGCUCGCCACCUCAAGCUUCGCCCUAGCAGUGCGAGGGAUGGCGAUCAAAAUGUUGGGGCUGGCAGAAUUGGAUCCACGACAGUUCUGUAAGAGCGGGUUUAGGCUCGCAGUGGAUAGUUGAAAUGCUCGUCUGUCAAUCGACGUCAUCUCAGCAAAAUCAAAGAUUGACUAUGUUUGUAGACAUCUGCUGACUGAAUCCUUCGGACGCGGGUUCGAAUCCCGCCAUCUCCACAA
RNAcentral lists this transfer-messenger RNA (397 nucleotides) under Anaerolineales bacterium. It matches the Rfam family "transfer-messenger RNA". Rfam says of the family: Bacterial tmRNA, also known as 10Sa RNA or SsrA, is named for its dual tRNA and mRNA-like properties. Its role is to liberate the mRNA from a stalled ribosome. Lineage: Bacteria; Bacillati; Chloroflexota; Anaerolineae; Anaerolineales. The record is from RNAcentral.